CGAGGUAACAGAACAGAAGGGCAGAGUCAGUCCAGCAUCAGUAUCCUCCGGGAAUGCGAGCUGAUCACUGGCAUAACACGAUCUCUAUAGAGACCAGCACGAGCACAAUCUCAUGGAGACAGAGUCCCAGACGCAGCAGAUCCAGCAGAUCACUGAAUAAGACACUCCGAGCCACUUCGUUCCUCUACAGACCUCUAGAGUGGGUAAACCAUGGGGAAGAAAGUCUUGCAGUGUUUUCCUUGGUACAAACGCUGUAAAGACCAGGGUAAAAGCAGGAUGUGCCCUCCUCCACCUGUGCCAUCUGUUGAGGUGCAACCUGGCUUCUCUCCGACAGUCUCCUGGGGGUACGACGGAGAGGAAAACGCCGGACGUCCCGUCUAUUUUUCCCAUAAAGCGCGAAUAGUUUAUCGCCACCAGAUGGAUGGCAAUAUUAUCGAUGCCACCUGCUGACCUCUGGGCUUCUGUCCCAGAAUCCCUUGCCUUGUACCCGUGGCUGUAGACGUUCAGUGUAGAGGAGCGUCAUAGGAUCCUACUAGACUGUUCUGUCCUGUGUAAUUAAACUAAAUCUUUUGUAUUUAGUAAAGAUGUCACAGUGUUUCUUCUGGUUCCCCCAUCCCCUCGCCAUACUUGGCAUCUUUACUUACUGUGUUGAAAUAAAAUAUAAUGUUUCAAGGCAGACAGAGUGAUGUAGGCCACAAGGAAUGUAGAAACAGGAACUGAGCUGGAUUUUAUAAAUACAAAUGUAAUGUGUUUUGUCAUGCAAAUAUGAUCCUGGAUGUAUGAUUGCCCAUUGCUUUUCAGAGGACAAACCAUGACUGUUUUUUCAGAGGUUCAUGAAUGCAUUUCAGGCAAAAGAUACAAUUUUGUACUAAUCACUGGAAUUAUAACAUAACAUUUGUGUACAUUUAGUAAUAGUUUAUUAUUCUUUGGUUAUGUCAAAGAAGUAGUUUAAGUAUUGGGGAAAAAAUUGUUUAAAUAUAUAAACAUAUUUCUAUUGUUAAUCUUUGUCUCAUUUAGCCUAAAAUCUGAAAUGUUCUUAAUUGUUCCCUUAUUGUACAAAAAGGCUUUAUUUCUGUGUGCAAAUUAUAAAUUCUUAUUUUGUACUGGGGUAAAAUAUGAUCUGGACAUGUUAUUGACUAUUCAGUUUUCAGUUUGAGGGUGUUUUGCUACAUAAAUAGAUAUGUAAAGGGAUAAACCAGCCAUAAAACUCUAAUACUAAUUCAUGCAAAAUAAAAAUGCCACUAUUUUGAUGUAUAAUUUCCCAUCUAUAAUGUGUUAGGAAAAAAGAGCGUGUUUGAUAUUACAAGAAAAUGUUACCUUCCUAAAUAAUUAUUUUUUUAUAUUGUACUAAUGCCCAAAUAAAUUAUUAAUUUAAUGUUUA
Carassius carassius (crucian carp) is the source of this 1381-nucleotide long non-coding RNA. RefSeq lists it as uncharacterized. The record is from RefSeq and is a predicted model, not a curated record. The transcript is spliced from 3 exons. Lineage: Eukaryota; Metazoa; Chordata; Actinopteri; Cypriniformes; Cyprinidae.